This is a non-coding RNA of Paramuricea clavata, 434 nucleotides long. The record is from the annotation of a GenBank genome assembly. Lineage: Eukaryota; Metazoa; Cnidaria; Anthozoa; Malacalcyonacea; Plexauridae.
GUACCCAGCACGCCACUGGUGAUAUUGAAGUGUUCUUCAUCAUUCUUGUACCAUAUGAUAAAUCAACAAUAAUCUAUGUAGAUAUAGAUGAAUGUUCCCGAGGUUUCCACAACUGCCGCGGUCGUAAUUCUCAUUGUAUCAACACUAUCGGGAGUUUUUCAUGCAGAUGUAACCAUGGUUAUACCGGAAAUGGCAGGUCAUGCACUGGUAGGUGUUGCAAUUUGUUAUUACGCGGCCAACGAAAUUAAAUAAUGCAAUCACUUUCCCUAUACCUUCUUUAACUUUUUAUAUUUGUUGUAUAGACAUCGAUGAAUGUUCUCUAUCUAUUGACAACUGUCACCAAAACUCAAGCUGCAAGAAUGUUGAAGGAUCUUAUCUGUGUAGUUGUGAUAGCGGCGGAUAUUCUUGGAAUGGCACGGUUUGCGAAGGUAUAU